RNAcentral lists this small nuclear RNA (107 nucleotides) under Salvator merianae (Argentine black and white tegu). The record is from RNAcentral. Lineage: Eukaryota; Metazoa; Chordata; Lepidosauria; Squamata; Teiidae.
GUGCUUGCUUCAGCAGCACGCAUACUAAAAUUGGAACGAAACAGAGAAGAUUAGCAUGGCCCCUGCACAAGGGUAACACACAAAUUUCUGAAGNGUUCCAUAUUUUU